GGCGGAGGUUCAAUCUUGUUCAUCUUAGCUGCUUCUCUGACUAUGGCCUCAGCCUCCUUUAUUCUCCCCUGAGAGAGUAGCCAUCGAGGAGACUCUGGGAUGAACCUGUUAUUCGACAACAGAGUGGACACACGUUCAAUCCAAACAGACAAUGACUUUUGUACAGUUGUUUCGCCAGAAUGAUGCCACUGCAGAAGACUGAUUUUCAUUCAUGUUAAAAGAGAGUUGUCCUGAAAUGAAGGACCCGGUGAGGACUCCGCAGAAGAAGACAGAAGAAGUCAGGGGGUUCUUCCAGCUGUUGUCACACACCAGGUCCCACUGCAAAAACACAAACACAAACACACACGUU
This is a long non-coding RNA of Mugil cephalus (flathead mullet), 349 nucleotides long. RefSeq lists it as uncharacterized. The transcript has 3 exons. The record is from RefSeq and is a predicted model, not a curated record. Lineage: Eukaryota; Metazoa; Chordata; Actinopteri; Mugiliformes; Mugilidae.